CUACGGGACGCACCAGUGGGGAAUAUUGCACAAUGGGCGCAAGCCUGAUGCAGCCAUGCCGCGUGUAUGAAGAAGGCCUUCGGGUUGUAAAGUACUUUCAGCGGGGAGGAAGGGAGUAAAGUUAAUACCUUUGCUCAUUGACGUUACCCGCAGAAGAAGCACCGGCUAACUCCGUGCCAGCAGCCGCGGUAAUACGGAGGGUGCAAGCGUUAAUCGGAAUUACUGGGCGUAAAGCGAACGCAGGCGGUUUGUUAAGUCAGAUGUGAAAUCCCCGGGCUCAACCUGGGAACUGCAUCUGAUACUGGCAGGCUUGAGUCUCGUAGAGGGGGGUAGAAUUCCAGGUGUAGCGGUGAAAUGCGUAGAGAUCUGGAGGAAUACCGGUGGCGAAGGCGGCCCCCUGGACGAAGACUGACGCUCAGGUGCGAAAGCGUGGGGAGCAAACAGGAUUAGAUACCCUUGUAGUC
Molecule: ribosomal RNA, 464 nt
Filed under: uncultured bacterium
Lineage: Bacteria
Description: partial 16S ribosomal RNA
Rfam family: Bacterial small subunit ribosomal RNA
Source: RNAcentral